Molecule: long non-coding RNA, 832 nt
Organism: Octopus bimaculoides (California two-spot octopus)
Lineage: Eukaryota; Metazoa; Mollusca; Cephalopoda; Octopoda; Octopodidae
Source: RefSeq, a predicted model, not a curated record
UUUGGUUACCUUAUGGUGUUAUAUGAGAUGUGACAAGAGCUGCAGUUAGUUGUAUCAAUGUUCAGGAAUGUUGAGUAGCAGAUUACGGAAUCGACGUUUUUUAAUUCUUCUAACUACAGCGUGAACGUAUAAAUGUACUGUUGUGGAAAUGGAUGUCACUGGUUGUAUCAUGUAUCUGCUUGCCACUCUUUACCCCGCAGAUUUGAUCCUUCGUAAACACAUCGCAGUCAGAGUUCGAAUCAUUUUAGUGCCACAAAGACCUAUUGUGAAAACAUCGGCUUACUUCUAUCUUCGAAGUAUGAUCUAUUGAAACAGUACCAAAUGAAAUUUUCCUUUCAGCAUUUGUUAACAAGUUCUGUAAAUGCCUAAGGCCUGUCCUCGACGAUACCCGAGAAUAGACAACAGCAACAGCAAAAAGGAGGUUCCUUUCAUAAACUUUAAAAAUUCUAUUCACACACAUUCUAUUUUCACACUCAAAAUAGUUACUAUACAUAAUUAUGAUACAAGAUUACAUACUACAAUGCCAAAGAAACAACACAAAAACCAAAACACGGAAGUAUAUGUCGAAAAGGUAGGAGAAAAUGAAUAAUAUUCCGACUGGAAGCGUCCUAAACAGUGAAAUAAAUAAAUAUGAAUAUAAAAAUUUUAACAACAAAAGCGUUAUGGCCCCUUAAUGCAGCAGCUGUGUUAAAGCAAACCUUCCCUUAAUACAAACCUUCCCUUAAUACAACUAAAUACGACAUUUUAGCUCUAACGCAGUCACAAUAAAACAUUGUUUCCGACAGGAAAGGUCAACGAGAAAAAUUGGAUAUACCUAUUUACGAAAGGAUGU